Molecule: long non-coding RNA, 1172 nt
Filed under: Linum usitatissimum (flax)
Lineage: Eukaryota; Viridiplantae; Streptophyta; Magnoliopsida; Malpighiales; Linaceae
Description: long non-coding RNA (LUSI_LNC008007)
Source: RNAcentral
ACCCGCUUAAGCGAUAAACACAAUUAGCUAACUAACAUACAUGUUGGUUCGAUGAAUAGUCACUUAUCCGCAAUAACUUGAUUCAAUAUCGAUUAGAAUCGAUUGCUUAGUAGUAACGUAGACUGUUUCUAACACAAAAACUCAUGAAAACUUAAAAAUAAUUAUUACAUACGACAAACUUGGUCCACGUAACAAAUCCAACUCCCCUAAAUUUAACCACUCCCAACUACUACUUGGUCCACGUAACGUAAUAAAUAUAAAUUCGACCCCCCAUAUUAAUAAUAAUAAUAAUAUAUUUUUACCCCCCAUUAACAAAAAAAUUAACCCAUUUGUUAAGUAAAAUGAGUAAAAUUACAACAUGGCCCCCCAGCUUUGUCCAACUACUAUACUACUACUGAUCUCUCUAAUCAAAGCUACAAGUUAACCCACCACCAGUUUCCUCUUAUUCUUCAGUAACCUGUUGGGAACUCACACUUCCCAUACCCUGCAUUGCCAACAAAAAACUCACUAAGAUUACAGCAGUAAAAACUAAUGUAGUGAAAGAUAUUUACUGCAGUCAAAACAGUCAUAAACAUGGUUGAUUAAGAGUAGAGUUACGUUGUUCAGGAACCAUUGGUCAAGCUUGACUUGUUGCUUUUUAGACGAUUUCGAGCCUAUUCUAAACCUAACUCGUUAACUAGGCUAGACGAGCCAAAACACGAGCUCAACUCAAAUUUCGCUCAUUGAAAAUUCCGUAUGAGUUCAAUUUGAGUUGAAGUUUAUACACUAUAAAAAAUCGAUCAUUCAUUCCUAUUAUGAAUCUAGGAUUAGAUUUGACAUUCCUACAAAGUUGAGGAUAUCUAUGGUAAUUAAAUUCAACUUCAGGCCUAGUUCCUAAAUUAUCCCCUUAUAACAAAUUUAAACCUAAAUAUUCUCAACAUUUACUAUCAUACCACGUGACGCCGUACUACUUUUGACCUUCCCUCUGACCUAGCGUGCGCCACUUUGUCCUACUGACCCCACACACUUUCACCAAUUUACCAUUUCAUACCCUCGGCGCAUUUUAACAGAAACAGAAAUGAAAAAUACUGAAAAGAGUUCUAGAAUACGCACUUGGCGGCUCAGUGACAACUUGUGCCGCGCCUCCGAAAUAGCAGGACCCGCCACGGCGCCCGGUCUCCUGGUAGUANNNN